This 516-nucleotide ribosomal RNA is filed under the name uncultured fungus. RNAcentral's name for it is "SSU rRNA". It matches the Rfam family "Eukaryotic small subunit ribosomal RNA", at positions 209 to 725 of the family's 1831-position model. The record is from RNAcentral. Lineage: Eukaryota; Fungi.
AUUAGAUAAAAAACCAAUGCCCUUCGGGGCUUUCUGGUGAUUCAUAAUAACUAAACGAAUCGCAUGGCCAUGCGCCGGCGAUGGUUCAUUCAAAUUUCUGCCCUAUCAACUUUCGAUUGUAGGAUAGAGGCCUACAAUGGUUUCAACGGGUAACGGAGAAUUAGGGUUCGGUUCCGGAGAGGGAGCCUGAGAAACGGCUACCACAUCCAAGGAAGGCAGCAGGCGCGCAAAUUACCCAAUCCCGACACGGGGAGGUAGUGACAAUAAAUACUGAUACAGGGCUCUUUUGGGUCUUGUAAUUGGAAUGAGUACAAUUUAAAUCCCUUAACGAGGAACAAUUGGAGGGCAAGUCUGGUGCCAGCAGCCGCGGUAAUUCCAGCUCCAAUAGCGUAUAUUAAAGUUGUUGCAGUUAAAAAGCUCGUAGUUGAACCUUGGGUCUGGCUGGCCGGUCCGCCUCACCGCGUGCACUGGUCCGGCCGGAACUUCCUCUUGGGGAUCUGCAUGCCCUUUACUGGG